This 87-nucleotide transfer RNA is filed under the name Oscillospiraceae bacterium. Its description in RNAcentral is "tRNA-Leu". It matches the Rfam family "tRNA". Rfam says of the family: Transfer RNA (tRNA) molecules are approximately 80 nucleotides in length. Their secondary structure includes four short double-helical elements and three loops (D, anti-codon, and T loops). Further hydrogen bonds mediate the characteristic L-shaped molecular structure. tRNAs have two regions of fundamental functional importance: the anti-codon, which is responsible for specific mRNA codon recognition, and the 3' end, to which the tRNAs corresponding amino acid is attached (by aminoacyl-tRNA synthetases). tRNAs cope with the degeneracy of the genetic code in two manners: having more than one tRNA (with a specific anti-codon) for a particular amino acid; and 'wobble' base-pairing, i.e. permitting non-standard base-pairing at the 3rd anti-codon position. Lineage: Bacteria; Bacillati; Bacillota; Clostridia; Eubacteriales; Oscillospiraceae. The record is from RNAcentral.
GCGGCUAUGGCGGAAUUGGCAGACGCGCCGGCUUCAGGUGCCGGUCCGAGCAAUUGGGUGGAGGUUCAAGUCCUCUUAGCCGCACCA